AACGAACGUUGGCGGCGUGGAUUAGGCAUGCAAGUCGAACGAAUCCCGGUCUCUCACCCUGUCCUUGCUCGGCGAGCCGAGCGGCGUAAGCCGCCGGGUUCCGAUGCGAGGAUGCGGUGAGGGGCCGGGGGAAGUGGCGAAAGGGGCAGUAAGGCGUGGGUAACCUACCCUGGGGAUCGGGGUAGCCAUCCUAACGGAUGGGUAAUACCGGGCGAUUUGGCGAGGAGGCAUCUUCUUGCCAGGAGAUGAAUUUCGCCUCGGGAGGGGCUCACGUGAUAUUAGCUAGUUGGUGGGGUAAUGGCUCACCAAGGCGAAGAUGUCUAGCGGGUGUGAGAGCACGACCCGCGUCACUGGCACUGAGACACUGGCCAGACACCUACGGGUGCUGCAGUCGAGGAUCUUCGGGCAAUGGGCGCAAGCCUGACCGAGCGACGCCGCGUGUGCGAUGAAGGCCUU
This 456-nucleotide ribosomal RNA is filed under the name uncultured bacterium. RNAcentral describes it as "bacterial SSU rRNA". It matches the Rfam family "Bacterial small subunit ribosomal RNA", at positions 28 to 418 of the family's 1533-position model. The record is from RNAcentral.